AUUGAACGCUGGCGGCAGGCCUAACACAUGCAAGUCGAACGAGUGGCGGACGGGUGAGUAAUGUCUGGGAAACUGCCUGAUGGAGGGGGAUAACUACUGGAAACGGUAGCUAAUACCGCAUACCCUCAGAUGUGCACAGAUGGGAUUAGCUUGUUGGUGGGGUCACGGCUCACCAGGGCGACGAUCCCUAGCUGGUCUGAGAGGAUGACCAGCCACACUGGAACUGAGACACGGGCCAUACUCCUCCGGGAGGCAGCAGUGGUGAAUAUUGCACAAUGGGCUCAAGCCUGAUGCAGCCAUGCCGAGUGUAUGAAGAAGGCCGUCGGGUUGUAAAGUACUUUCAGCGGGGAGGCGUUACCCACAGAAGAAGCACCGGCUAACUCCGUGCCAGCAGCCGCGGUAAUUC
RNAcentral lists this ribosomal RNA (406 nucleotides) under uncultured bacterium. Its description in RNAcentral is "partial 16S ribosomal RNA". It matches the Rfam family "Bacterial small subunit ribosomal RNA", at positions 30 to 526 of the family's 1533-position model. The record is from RNAcentral.